This 253-nucleotide ribosomal RNA is filed under the name uncultured bacterium. Its description in RNAcentral is "partial 16S ribosomal RNA". It matches the Rfam family "Bacterial small subunit ribosomal RNA", at positions 524 to 776 of the family's 1533-position model. The record is from RNAcentral.
UACGGAGGGUGCGAGCGUUAGUCGGAAUAACUGGGCGUAAAGGGCACGCAGGCGGUCUUUUAAGUCAGAUGUGAAAUCCCCGGGCUUAACCUGGGAAUAGCAUUUCAGACUGGGAGACUAGAGUACUUUAGGGAGGGGUAGAAUUCCACGUGUAGCGGUGAAAUGCGUAGAGAUGUGGAGGAAUACCGAAGGCGAAGGCGGCCCCUUGGGAAUGUACUGACGCUCAGGUGCGAAAGCGUGGGGAGCAAACAGG